GCAAGUCGAACGGUAACAUGAAAGCGCUUGCUUUUUUGCUGCCGAGGGGCGCACGGGUGCGUAACGCGUAUACAAUCUACCUUUUACAGGGGGUUAGGCUUUGGAAGCGAAGAAUAAUACCCCAUAGUAAGUCGAUGUGGCAUCACGAUGACUUUAAAGAUUUAUCGGUAAAAGAUGAGUAUGCGUCCUAUUAGCUAGAUGGUGUGGUAACGGCACACCAUGGCAACGAUAGGUAGGGGCCCUGAGAGGGGGAUC
RNAcentral lists this ribosomal RNA (255 nucleotides) under uncultured bacterium. RNAcentral describes it as "partial 16S ribosomal RNA". It matches the Rfam family "Bacterial small subunit ribosomal RNA", at positions 57 to 305 of the family's 1533-position model. The record is from RNAcentral.